RNAcentral lists this ribosomal RNA (497 nucleotides) under uncultured bacterium. RNAcentral describes it as "partial 16S ribosomal RNA". It matches the Rfam family "Bacterial small subunit ribosomal RNA", at positions 28 to 507 of the family's 1533-position model. The record is from RNAcentral.
GAUGAACGCUGGCGGCGUGCCUAAUACAUGCAAGUCGAGCGAACGGACGAGAAGCUUGCUUCUCUGAUGUUAGCGGCGGACGGGUGAGUAACACGUGGAUAACCUACCUAUAAGACUGGGAUAACUUCGGGAAACCGGAGCUAAUACCGGAUAAUAUUUUGAACCGCAUGGUUCAAAAGUGAAAGACGGUCUUGCUGUCACUUAUAGAUGGAUCCGCGCUGCAUUAGCUAGUUGGUAAGGUAACGGCUUACCAAGGCAACGAUGCAUAGCCGACCUGAGAGGCGGAUCGGCCACACUGGAACUGAGACACGGUCCAGACUCCUACGGGAGGCAGCAGUAGGGAAUCUUCCGCAAAGGGCGAAAGCCUGACGGAGCAACGCCGCGUGAGUGAUGAAGGUCUUCGGAUCGUAAAACUCUGUUAUUAGGGAAGAACAUAUGUGUAAGUAACUGUGCACAGCUUGACGGUACCGAAUCAGAAAGCCACGGCUAACUACGUG